GGUGCUGUGGGGUAACGGUUAACCUUAGGCUAUAUAAGUUAUCAACAAUUUCCACGUAUGCAUAUUGUGUAGCCUAGUUGCGAGUUCGAAUCUUGCCAGCGCCA
Non-coding RNA from Gymnopus androsaceus JB14, 104 nucleotides. The record is from the annotation of a GenBank genome assembly. NCBI's taxonomy places the organism in Eukaryota, Fungi, Basidiomycota, Agaricomycetes, Agaricales, Omphalotaceae.